RNAcentral lists this ribosomal RNA (410 nucleotides) under uncultured bacterium. Its description in RNAcentral is "bacterial SSU rRNA". It matches the Rfam family "Bacterial small subunit ribosomal RNA", at positions 28 to 416 of the family's 1533-position model. The record is from RNAcentral.
GACGAACGCUGGCGGCGUGCUUAACACAUGCAAGUCGAGCGAGAUCCAUCCAGUGGCAACACUGGUGAAGAUCUAGCGGCGAACGGGUGAGUAACACGUGAGCAACCUGCCCCGAAGACCGGGAUAACAGCGGGAAACCGCUGCUAAUACCGGAUGCCCUCACCGGGCCGCAUGACCUGGUGAGGAAAUGGCUGAGUCUAAUACACUCAGUCCGCUUCGGGAGGGGCUCGCGGGCUAUCAGCUUGUUGGUGAGGUAACGGCUCACCAAGGCUACGACGGCUAGCUGGUCUGAGAGGACGACCAGCCACACUGGGACUGAGACACGGCCCAGACUCCUACGGGAGCAGCAGUGGGAAUCUUGCGCAAUGGGCGAAAGCCUGACGCAGCAACGCCGCGUGGGGAUGAAGGCC